AAUGGGAAUGCAUAGGAUUGUGGUUUAGAACACUGAAUGUAGACAUAGAUGGAGUUUCUUCAGGUCUGCAGAAGUUUGACUCUACCGAAUGGAACAACAUUUUCUGCUGCUGGGGCUAGAUUUUGGAUCAAGUAUAUUAAAACACACACAC
Molecule: long non-coding RNA, 151 nt
Organism: Lacerta agilis (Sand lizard)
Lineage: Eukaryota; Metazoa; Chordata; Lepidosauria; Squamata; Lacertidae
Exons: 2
Source: RefSeq, a predicted model, not a curated record